This 78-nucleotide microRNA precursor is filed under the name Tursiops truncatus (common bottlenose dolphin). RNAcentral's name for it is "miRNA (ENSTTRG00000025037.1)". Lineage: Eukaryota; Metazoa; Chordata; Mammalia; Artiodactyla; Delphinidae. The record is from RNAcentral.
UGGGUUGGCCAAAAAGGUCGUUCAGGUUUUUUCCAUAUGUUACAGAAGAACCCGAAUGAACUUUCUGGCCAAGCCAAU